RNAcentral lists this ribosomal RNA (405 nucleotides) under uncultured bacterium. RNAcentral describes it as "partial 16S ribosomal RNA". It matches the Rfam family "Bacterial small subunit ribosomal RNA", at positions 28 to 526 of the family's 1533-position model. The record is from RNAcentral.
GAUGAACGCUGGCGGCGUGCCUAAUACAUGCAAGUCGAGCGAAGCGGGGACGGGUGAGUAACACGUGGGUAACUCCCUAUAUGACUGGGAUAAAUUAGGGAAACCGGAGCUAAAACGGCUACUUAUCCAUGGAUCCGCGCUGCAUUAGCUAGUUGGUAAGGUAACGGCUUACCAAGGCCACGAUGCAUAGCCGAUCUGAGAGGGUGAUCGGCCACACUGGGACUGAGACACGGUCCAGACUCCUACGGGAGGCAGCAGUAGGGAAUCUUCCGCAAUGGGCGAAAGCCUGACGGAGCAACGCCGCGUGAGUGAUGAAGGUCUUCGGAUCGUAAACCUCUGUUAUUAGGGAAGCGGUACCUAAUCAGAAAGCCACGGCUAACUACGUGCCAGCAGCCGCGGUAAUAC